Molecule: non-coding RNA, 2037 nt
Organism: Chrysemys picta bellii (western painted turtle)
Lineage: Eukaryota; Metazoa; Chordata; Testudines; Emydidae
Source: RefSeq, a predicted model, not a curated record
CCCCUCCCCCCCCCCGUCCCUGUCCCCGGCAUGUUUACAAGCCUCCCUUUUUAACCAGUGUAAGGAAAUUAAUGAGAUGCUGCUGCUUUUAGAAUUGUUUUUAACCAUGGGAGCAAUCAGUGUUGGAUCACAUGUACUAAGCAGGCCAACUCAAAUUGAAAUAAUUAGGAAUGGAGAUUGUGGUUAUGUUUGGUGGGGGAGGAAGGGAUGGAGACAUGGGCCCAUCUGCCUUAUCAAAUCUGCAGUUUGAGAGUCAUGUUUAGAACACAAAUUUUAGUAACAUGGUUAAAGCAGGGUUAGUCACUGGCAAGACUUAAUUCCUGCACAGCUUGCAUGGUUCACAGGGACUCACUGAAUCGUUAUUCUGUUUUUCAAAUACCCAAAGGAAAUUCUCAUUAAAAAACAAACAACUUUAUACUGGAGUAAAAGUUGUAUAUUUCUAUCAAUUACUGAAGAGACAGCCCUUCGGAGAACCUGGCAGUUUUCUCAAAAAACCUCACAACUAAGUUUUUCCAAAAUUUCUACUGUUUAAGUUACAUUUAAAACAAAACAAAAUAAGGAAGGGCAUAGUUAGGCCACUAGAAAUUUAGAUUGACACAAGCCAGCUUAGGUCAGCCUAGCUGUGCAUGUGUCUUCACUUUAAAUUAGUUUCCCACUUUUGUAAGCACCCUGUUAUGCCAACAUAGUAACACCACCUCCCUGAGUGACACAGGGCAAUUGUAGACACUGAAUUACCUAUGUUGAGCCCAACUGUCCUCCAGCAGCUGAGGACCUUUCAGGUCAUCAUUAUGAACUCCACUGCGCAGGCGUCAUGGAGACUGAGACUGGAAGCCCCCCCCGUCCCUUUAAAGCCUAGUGAAUUUUUGAAAUUCCUUUUCUUGAUUGUCCAGCUUGACGAGCACACCUAGCAGCUCUCCAUUGUAGAGUGCAACUGCCCAGCUGCCCCUGCUGGUUGUGUGCUCCAGAAGCACUCCAGCUUGGAGUAGACAGGAGAUACGGGGUCUCCUGGGCCUGUGGGAAGAAGAGGCUGUGCAGGCACAGCUCUGAACAAGCUGUAAAAAUGUUGGCAUCUAUGAGCAGAUGGCUCAGGGGAUGCAGAAGAACUGGUACGAUGGGGACCAGCAGCCGUGCAAUGUGAAAGCCCAGGAACUGCAGCAGGCGUACCAGAAGGCCAGGGAGGCCAACAAUCAAUCUGGUGCUGAGCCGCAGAUGUGCCACUUUUACAAAGCGCUACAAGCCAUACUCAGUGGAGGACACCCCCUCCCCACACACAGCACUAUGGAUACCUCUGAGGAGCCCACUGAGUCACAGACCCCGAUAUGAACAGCAAGGAGGUGGAGGAGGAGUAUGGGGGUCAGGCGACCUGGGAUCCAGCUGCGCAGCGAGCCAGAUCCUAUUUUUAACUCUGCCACAGUCUCACCAGUCGAUCAAGGGCGAGCCCGAUGCAAGGAAAGGAAUCUCAGCUGUUGUCAUUGCGGCCUUCACACUCCCUUUCAGACCUGUAGAAUGCCUGCGCCAGAUAAAGAGGAGAAAGAAGAGGACUCAGGAUGACAUGUUCAGUGAGAUCCUGCAAGCCACUGCCGCAUCAGACUGCGAGCACAGGGCUGGAGGAUGAAUAUUGCAGACAGCCUGGAGAAGGAAAGAGUGGAGAGGAGAAAGCUCCAGCAGGAAAAGGAGAGGAAGAUGCACCAAGACAUAAUGGCUUCUAAGGCAGCGCAAACAGAUGCUGCAGACUGUGGUGGAUCUGCAGGUUCAACAGUCCCGGGCUCACCUCACUCUGCAGCCCAUUGAGAACUCAGUAUCAGGACCUCCCUAUACCUCCCCCCAUCCCCGCAACAUUCCAUGUGGCAUCAGGGGCCUCUGCACUACCCCUGGCAUGCCACCCGGGGGACAUUAAAGACAAUCACAGCCAAACAUAUCUGAAAGCCACAGUUGGUGCAUGUGUAGCUGAAAUGGGCAUCAGUGUUCUUUCCCCUUCAUAAGUUCUGUUCUCUUUAUUAAAUUUUAAGUUUUGUAAUAUAUUUGUUUUAAAAUUGC